UGUGUGUGUGUGUGUGUGUAAAUAUAUUUAUUGUUCAAAAGUUUUGCAAUAUUUUGGUAACUCAUUUGCCUUUUUCAUCAAGUUACAACAAAAGCAGCCCAGCAUUCAAAGGAGAGGCCAUUGUGUUGCACCAUCUGGAACCACCUCCCUGCCAGUUCUU
This is a long non-coding RNA of Octopus sinensis (East Asian common octopus), 160 nucleotides long. RefSeq lists it as uncharacterized. The transcript has 3 exons. NCBI's taxonomy places the organism in Eukaryota, Metazoa, Mollusca, Cephalopoda, Octopoda, Octopodidae. The record is from RefSeq and is a predicted model, not a curated record.